GCAAAGGGAGAAGUAGGCUCCAUGCAGGAAGCCCGACGUGGGACUUGAUCCUGGGUCUCCAGGAUCAUGCCCUGGGCCAAAGGCAGCACUAAAUCACUGAGCCACCCCGGCUGCCCCAGAAUGUCAUUUUAGAUAGGAAUGGAGCCAGUUUGCAUUUUAUAGGUCAUGAAGUAGAUACUUGAUGAUAUCAAGGAGAUUGUUCCAAGGGGUGCCCUUCUAUGCAAAAGUAAAGAAUACAAUAAAAUAAACCCUAGUGAGAGUAUUUUUUUCCUUCAGAUGAGUGGAUGUUCUUUCCCAUUUGCCCUGGUAUUGACCUACACAGCGUAUAAACAAGAUUGAUUUUGGGACUAGGGAAGAAAGACAAAGGCUUAGAGAUUCCAUGGAGCUUCUGCUCAUAACCUUUCCUGCUUGACCCUAGAUUAAACUUUGACAAGACCAUAAAGUAUCUCAGAUAUAAUCUCUACACUAUUCAUUCUUCUGAAGUCUCAGCAAAAGGUCCUAUAGAUCUUGUCAGUUUUGGAAUCCAGAAGGCUUCAAUUUCAAGACAUCUACGUCAUUAUAUUACUCAACCAGAAAUUCAGCUCCCAGUGAACCUGGUGUCAGAUUUCAGCUCAGCUCAAUGUGUCACAAGUCAGUUUUUGACACUAGAAUACCCUGAGUAAAGGUAUAGUUGGCCCAAUUACAUUUUGGCCAAGACUAAUGCUUAUAAAUC
This 712-nucleotide long non-coding RNA is filed under the name Vulpes vulpes (red fox). RNAcentral describes it as "lncRNA (ENSVVUG00000021187.1)". The record is from RNAcentral. Lineage: Eukaryota; Metazoa; Chordata; Mammalia; Carnivora; Canidae.